UGAACGCUGGCGGCAGGCCUAACACAUGCAAGUCGAGCGGAUGAAGGGAGCUUGCUCCUGGAUUCAGCGGCGGACGGGUGAGUAAUGCCUAGGAAUCUGCCUGGUAGUGGGGGAUAACGUCCGGAAACGGGCGCUAAUACCGCAUACGUCCUGAGGGAGAAAGUGGGGGAUCUUCGGACCUCACGCUAUCAGAUGAGCCUAGGUCGGAUUAGCUAGUUGGUGGGGUAAAGGCCUACCAAGGCGACGAUCCGUAACUGGUCUGAGAGGAUGAUCAGUCACACUGGAACUGAGACACGGUCCAGACUCCUACGGGAGGCAGCAGUGGGGAAUAUUGGACAAUGGGCGAAGGCCUGAUCCAGCCAUGCCGCGUGUGUGAAGAAGGUCUUCGGAUUGUAAAGCACUUUAAGUUGGGAGGAAGGGCAGUAAGUUAAUACCUUGCUGUUUUGACGUUACCAACAGAAUAAGCACCGGCUAACUUCGUG
RNAcentral lists this ribosomal RNA (482 nucleotides) under uncultured bacterium. Its description in RNAcentral is "partial 16S ribosomal RNA". It matches the Rfam family "Bacterial small subunit ribosomal RNA", at positions 30 to 507 of the family's 1533-position model. The record is from RNAcentral.